CUGAACGCUAAGAACAACAGAACGUAAGACUGACAGUUGACUUAUCAUAAUGAUAUCCUUCUUUCCCAUUGAAAAAAUGUAGUUGAUGAGAAGUGUCUGCUUCCAUUGCCCGUGAAUCCCUAACAGAAUGGUGCCAGGCUCCACCAGGAGACCUUCCUGAGUCCCAUCUGAAAGCCUCCACCUGAAUGCGUCCCUCAUUUUAAUGACCCAGCCAGGCUACCUCUGAAGAGAAGGGCAGUUCUCAGCAGCCUGAGGGGUGCUGGUAGAGACAUACCAAAAGUGUUGUUGGUGCCACCUUUUUGCAAGAGAUGAAGAGAAAGUUCC
RNAcentral lists this long non-coding RNA (324 nucleotides) under Homo sapiens (human). Its description in RNAcentral is "HSALNT0305638". The record is from RNAcentral. Lineage: Eukaryota; Metazoa; Chordata; Mammalia; Primates; Hominidae.